GCUGGGCGUGGUGGCUCACGUCUGUAAUCCCAGCACUUUGGGAGGCCGAGACAGGUGGAUCACUUGAGGCCAGGAGUUUGAGACCAGCCUGGCCAAUAUGGUGAAACCCUGUCUCUA
RNAcentral lists this non-coding RNA (117 nucleotides) under Homo sapiens (human). Lineage: Eukaryota; Metazoa; Chordata; Mammalia; Primates; Hominidae. The record is from Rfam by way of RNAcentral.